Molecule: unclassified non-coding RNA, 252 nt
Filed under: Glomus sp.
Lineage: Eukaryota; Fungi; Glomeromycota; Glomeromycetes; Glomerales; Glomeraceae
Description: partial contains 5.8S ribosomal RNA and internal transcribed spacer 2
Rfam family: 5.8S ribosomal RNA (bases 1-65)
Source: RNAcentral
GUGAAUCAUCGAAUUUUUGAACGCAAAUUGCACUCUCUUCGGAGAGUAUGUCUGUUUGAGGGCUAGCCUAAAAAAAAUAGAUAUUGUUGCUGUUUUAUGGUGGCGUUCGUCGGAAAUUGGGUAAUCUUAUUUAUUUUGGUUUUAAGUGACUUAAAAUUCUUUUUUUGGUUCUAUGAGAGUUUCUAAGAUUUAUUUAUUUACACGUUUCAGGUAUUGAUUUUUAUUUGACGUGACGAUCAUAUUGGAUCGCGU